UCCAGACUCCUACGGGAGGCAGCAGUGAGGAAUAUUGGUCAAUGGGCGAGAGCCUGAACCAGCCAAGUCGCGUGAGGGAGUACUGCCCUAUGGGUUGUAAACCUCUUUUGUCAGGGAGCAAAGGGCGCCACGUGUGGCGCUUUGCGAGUACCUGAAGAAAAAGCAUCGGCUAACUCCGUGCCAGCAGCCGCGGUAAUACGGAGGAUGCGAGCGUUAUUCGGAUUUAUUGGGUUUAAAGGGUGCGCAGGCGGAAUGUCAAGUCAGCGGUAAAAUUUCGGGGCUCAACCCCGUCGUGCCGUUGAAACUGGCGUUCUUGAGUGAGCGAGAAGUAUGCGGAAUGCGUGGUGUAGUGGUGAAAUGCAUAGAUAUCACGCAGAACUCCGAUUGCGAAGGCAGCAUACCGGCGCUCAACUGACGCUCAUGCACGAAAGCGUGGGUAUCGAACAGGAUUAGAUACCCGUGUAGC
Molecule: ribosomal RNA, 466 nt
Filed under: uncultured bacterium
Lineage: Bacteria
Description: bacterial SSU rRNA
Rfam family: Bacterial small subunit ribosomal RNA
Source: RNAcentral